AUCCAGUUAGAUCAGUCAGUAGAACAUGAGACUCUUAAUCUCAAGGUUGUGGGUUCAAAAGAUUCCUGCAUUGCAGG
Molecule: non-coding RNA, 77 nt
Organism: Podarcis lilfordi (Lilford's wall lizard)
Lineage: Eukaryota; Metazoa; Chordata; Lepidosauria; Squamata; Lacertidae
Source: the annotation of a GenBank genome assembly